CCUAGGGUUUUCCUCUUCCCUCCUCUACCGCCGCCAGGAAUGUAGAGCCACCAGAUCCGCCGCUAGAACCCCGUCCCGAGCGCGUCUAGGAGCACGGCCUUGUUGCCGUCGUGCUCACCAUCAUCCUCCGCCUCGCCGACCGUGUCCCUCUUCUUCCUCGACGUCCACUACGUCCACGACAUCGACUACGUGGAGCUGGAACCCGUUGCUGCGCCGUCUUCUUCCUCGUCUUCGACUCCGGCCACCACAGUUGUUCGAUCGCCCUCACCGUCGUCUCCGUCCACUUCACGUCAAGUCGAACACCCCAUCGUGUUCGUGUUGCAGGUACCGAUGAGUCUGAUGCAGGUGAUGCCACUGAGCUCAAGUGGGAGUUCGAUGAAGACCGUUGCCGUUAUUAUGUUUCCUUUCCGGACGAUCAGUAGUGGUGCCCAGUAGGGUCGAUCGAGACUUAGCUUGGGUGGUUGUCUUCUAUUCGUUUGCUUUCGCCCGUAGCCGGACUCUGUGUUCACCUUGAAUGAUUGUAUUACUUGAUGAUAUUUGUGUGACAUUGUGGCGAUUGUAAGCCAAAGGUCGUAUUCUAUCGAUUCAGUACAUGAGAUGCGCAAAGA
Long non-coding RNA from Triticum aestivum (bread wheat), 608 nucleotides. RefSeq lists it as uncharacterized. The transcript is spliced from 2 exons. The record is from RefSeq and is a predicted model, not a curated record. NCBI's taxonomy places the organism in Eukaryota, Viridiplantae, Streptophyta, Magnoliopsida, Poales, Poaceae.